UCCUCGGUAGCUCAAUGGUAGAGCGGGUGGCUGUUAACCACUAGGUUGGGGGUUCAAGUCCCUCCCGAGGAGCCA
RNAcentral lists this transfer RNA (75 nucleotides) under bacterium. RNAcentral describes it as "tRNA-Asn". It matches the Rfam family "tRNA". From Rfam's summary of the family: Transfer RNA (tRNA) molecules are approximately 80 nucleotides in length. The record is from RNAcentral.